AACGAACGCUGGCGGCAUGCCUAACACAUGCAAGUCGAACGAGACCUUCGGGUCUAGUGGCGCACGGGUGCGUAACGCGUGGGAAUCUACCCUUGGGUUCGGAAUAACAGUUAGAAAUGACUGCUAAUACCGGAUGAUGACGUAAGUCAAAAGAUUUAUCGCCCAAGGAUGAGCCCGCGUAAGAUUAGCUUGUUGGUGGGGUAAUGGCCUACCAAGGCGACGAUCUUUAGCUGGUCUGAGAGGAUGAUCAGCCACACUGGGACUGAGACACGGCCCAGACUCCUACGGGAGGCAGCAGUGGGGAAUAUUGGACAAUGGGCGAAAGCCUGAUCCAGCAAUGCCGCGUGAGUGAUGAAGGCCUUAGGGUUGUAAAGCUCUUUUACCAGGGAUGAUGAUGACAGUACCUGGAGAAUAAGCUCCGGCUAACUCCGUGCCAGCCGCCGCGGUAA
This 449-nucleotide ribosomal RNA is filed under the name uncultured bacterium. RNAcentral's name for it is "partial 16S ribosomal RNA". It matches the Rfam family "Bacterial small subunit ribosomal RNA", at positions 29 to 523 of the family's 1533-position model. The record is from RNAcentral.